Molecule: small RNA, 166 nt
Filed under: human gut metagenome
Description: Clostridiales-1 RNA
Rfam family: Clostridiales-1 RNA
Source: RNAcentral
GAUGCCAGGGAAUCAAAGUCAGUCUCACACAGUGAGCUUGCUCACUGGUGGGCGACUGACCUUGAUUCCCGCCCCGGCAUGAGCAUAAAAGUUAUGCGGCAGCUUAACGAUAUGCGAAUGUCGGGUAGGAGUGCGGGAGGGCGCAGCACGGAGCAGUCCGUAUGGC